Molecule: ribosomal RNA, 756 nt
Filed under: Choerophryne gracilirostris
Lineage: Eukaryota; Metazoa; Chordata; Amphibia; Anura; Microhylidae
Description: partial 12S ribosomal RNA
Rfam family: Bacterial small subunit ribosomal RNA (bases 1-508)
Source: RNAcentral
AUCCCCACUAUGCCUAGCUGUAAAAUAUUUACCCACACCCAAACCACCAGGGAAUUACGAGCCCAAGCUUAAAACCCAAAGGACUUGACGGUGUCCCAUCCCCCUAGAGGAGCCUGUUCUAUAAUCGAUUAUCCCCGAUUUACCUCACCACCUCUUGAACCCCAGUCUGUAUACCUCCGUCGCAAGCUUACCCUGUGAACGCACCAGUAAGCUAAAAGAUAUUCUACCCACACGUCAGGUCAAGGUGCAGCCAACGAGGCGGAAAGAAAUGGGCUACAAUUUCUACCCUAGAACAAACGAAAGGCUGCAUGAAACACAGCCACUGAAGGCGGAUUUAGAAGUAAAAAGAAAAUAGAGAGUUCUUUUUAAAUAGGCACUGGGACGCGUACACACCGCCCGUCACCCUCUUCAAUGAACAGAAAAAGUUAUUAACACCACACAAUUAUACAGAAGAGGCAAGUCGUAACAUGGUAAGCGUACUGGAAAGUGCACUUGGAACAAAAUAUAGCUUAAUAAAAGUAUCUUGCUUACACCAAGAACAUGCCUGUGAAACCCUGACUAUUUUGAGCCUGACCCACAGCCCUCCCCAUUUUAAUAAGAUUACCCAUGUUAAUAAAUUAAUUAAACCAUUUUUUUAGCUAAGUAAAGGCGAUUAAAAAGCUUCUAGGAGCCCUAACAAUAGUACCGCAAGGGAAACCUGAAAUAAAACUGAAACAAUUUAAAGCACCAUAAAGUAGAGAACCCCCUCGUACCUUU